Molecule: long non-coding RNA, 1066 nt
Filed under: Vulpes vulpes (red fox)
Lineage: Eukaryota; Metazoa; Chordata; Mammalia; Carnivora; Canidae
Description: lncRNA (ENSVVUG00000002083.1)
Source: RNAcentral
CGAAGCCUGGACUCCGGUGCCCUGUGUCACCUGGAAGCCACUUUUUCCUGGCUUCUUUCCGCCGGGCCCGGGUAGCGAGUAGGAGCGGAGACACCGGAGGAGCUGGCUGCGGGCGCGGAUCGGCUGAAGGGCGGGCACUUUGUCACUCUCUGCCGUCCCUGGGGCGCCAGCCCCUGGAACUUCAUUUAAUCCUGCCCGUAGCCUGCGCAGGGGCAUGAUUAACCCCACUGUACUGAUGAAGAAGCUGCACACCGGGAUGAGAACGGACUCGCCCUGGGGCAGGCCCCUGGAAAGGGACACGGAAGCUUCCCCCUCUGUCCUUUCCCCGCGGGGUAGGAAGCUCACGCGGCUGGGUCUGUUAGGAAACAGGUGAUUCUGAAACACACUCUGCCCCCUUUCUAGGUUCCUUGUUUUGUUUUUUGUCAGCACCGACCUUAUGCCUCAAAUUCGAACAAUUUUUGCAGAUGAGCGUUUUGAAGUGGAAGCAGCCCUGGCUCACAGCUCUUUUUCUUGCAGCGCUUUCUGCCGAUGCAGAGCGAGUUGCCAGGCACCCUCGCGGGCCACACACUGCUUUCUCCCGGUGGAUGAGGUCGCCUGCAGACCCGGGCUGGGCCUUAUGGGCUGCCCAGGUGUAGGGCACUGUCAGCCUGGCUUCAAGAUCCCAGGACAUCUAGAUUGGCACCAGUUUUGCCUACAAUGCCUUUGAAGGUAUAUAUGAAAUUUCGUUAUCUGAUGCCAGAUAAAUGAUCAUUUAAUUGGUCUAAUUCUUUAGCUGCAUACCAAUGCAAAACAAAUGUUCCCUUCAGCAGGCAGACUUGAAAAUAGACUCUGGUGUCAUCCAGCUGCAUAUCUGAUCAAUCGUGGGAGGAACUUGGAUGCAGAGUACCAGUGCAGAAGGAGGAGCCUAUUUAACCCAAGAAUUUGGUACAUUUCCUGGAAAGGCUCAAUUACUUUCAAGAUCAGCUAAGACACAGAAACCAAUUUUUUUCUUUAAAAAAAUAAUGUGUUUUGUGUUCAGGGAUAUUUUUAAAGAUUUAUUUCUGCAAAACUAAUCACUAGCCUAAAC